This 463-nucleotide ribosomal RNA is filed under the name uncultured bacterium. RNAcentral's name for it is "partial 16S ribosomal RNA". It matches the Rfam family "Bacterial small subunit ribosomal RNA", at positions 338 to 795 of the family's 1533-position model. The record is from RNAcentral.
CCUACGGGGGGCAGCAGUAGGGAAUUUUCGGCAAUGGGGGGAACCCUGACCGAGCAACGCCGCGUGAAGGAAGAAGGAAUUCGUUCUGUAAACUUCUGUUAUAAAGGAAGAAAGACGGAUGGAGGAAAUGACAUCCGAGUGACGGUACUUUAUGAGAAAGCAACGGCGAACCACGUGCCAGCAGCCGCGGUAAGACGCAGGUGGCAAGCGUUAUCCGGAAUCAGUGGGCGAAAGGAGGGAGCAGGCGGCAGCAAAGGUAUGUGGUGAAAGACUGAAGCUUAACUUCAGUAAGCCAUAGAAACCGGGCAGUUAGAGUGCAGGAGAGGAUCGUGAAUUCCAUGUGUAGCGGUGAAAUGCGUAGAUAUAUGGAGGAACACCAGUGGCGAAGGCGACGAUCUGGCCUGCAACUGACGCUCAGUCCCGAAAGCGUGGGGAGCGAAAGGGAUUAGAUACCCUGGUAGUC